AGUUUGAUCCUGGCUCAGGAUGAACGCUAGCGGCAGGCUUAACACAUGCAAGUCGAGGGGUAGAGGAAGCUUGCUUCCUUGAGACCGGCGCACGGGUGCGUAACGCGUAUGCAAUCUACCUUAUACAGGGGGAUAGCCCAGAGAAAUUUGGAUUAAUACCCCAUAGUAUAAUUGAAUGGCAUCAUUUAAUUAUUAAAGUUCCAACGGUAUAAGAUGAGCAUGCGUCCCAUUAGCUAGUUGGUGUGGUAACGGCACACCAAGGCGACGAUGGGUAGGGGUCCUGAGAGGGAGAUCCCCCACACUGGUACUGAGACACGGACCAGACUCCUACGGGAGGCAGCAGUGAGGAAUAUUGGUCAAUGGGCGCAAGCCUGAACCAGCCAUGCCGCGUGCAGGAUGACGGUCCUAUGGAUUGUAAACUGCUUUUGUACAGGAAGAAACACUCCCUCGUGAGGGAGCUUGACGGUACUGUAAGAAUAAGGAUCGGCUAACUCCGUG
Molecule: ribosomal RNA, 498 nt
Filed under: uncultured bacterium
Lineage: Bacteria
Description: bacterial SSU rRNA
Rfam family: Bacterial small subunit ribosomal RNA
Source: RNAcentral